CCUACGGGAGGCAGCAGUGAGGAAUAUUGGUCAAUGGACGAGAGUCUGAACCAGCCAAGUAGCGUGAAGGAUGACUGCCCUAUGGGUUGUAAACUUCUUUUAUAAAGGAAUAAAACGAGGCACGUGUGCCUUUUUGCAUGUACUUUAUGAAUAAGGAUCGGCUAACUCCGUGCCAGCAGCCGCGGUAAUACGGAGGAUCCGAGCGUUAUCCGGAUUUAUUGGGGUUAAAGGGAGCGUAGAUGGGUUGUUAAGUCAGUUGUGAAAGUUUGCGGCUCAACCGUAAAAUUGCAAUUGAUACUGGCUGUCUUGAGUACAGUUGAGGUAUGCGGAAUGCGCGGUGUAGCGGUGAAAUGCUUAGAUAUCACGAAGAACUCCGAUUGCGAAGGCAGCUUACUAAACUGCCACUGACAUUGAUGCUCGAAAGUGUGGGUAUCAAACAGGAUUAGAUACCCCAGUAGUC
Molecule: ribosomal RNA, 460 nt
Filed under: uncultured bacterium
Lineage: Bacteria
Description: partial 16S ribosomal RNA
Rfam family: Bacterial small subunit ribosomal RNA
Source: RNAcentral